RNAcentral lists this small nuclear RNA (195 nucleotides) under Vigna radiata var. radiata (mung bean). RNAcentral's name for it is "snRNA U2". It matches the Rfam family "U2 spliceosomal RNA". Rfam says of the family: U2 is a small nuclear RNA (snRNA) component of the spliceosome (involved in pre-mRNA splicing). Complementary binding between U2 snRNA (in an area lying towards the 5' end but 3' to hairpin I) and the branchpoint sequence (BPS) of the intron results the bulging out of an unpaired adenosine, on the BPS, which initiates a nucleophilic attack at the intronic 5' splice site, thus starting the first of two transesterification reactions that mediate splicing. The record is from Rfam by way of RNAcentral. Lineage: Eukaryota; Viridiplantae; Streptophyta; Magnoliopsida; Fabales; Fabaceae.
AUACCUUUCUCGGCCUUUUGGCUAAGAUCAAGUGUAGUAUCUGUUCUUAUCAGUUUAAUAUCUGAUAUGUGGGCCAAUGGUCCACACGAUAUUAAAUUAAUUUUUUGAAGGGGAGAUUUCAAUGCAGUAGCUUGCUACUGGGGAUCUCAUGUGUCGCUCAAGUCUUGCACUAUAGCUUGAGAAGGCACACCCUAU